Delphinapterus leucas (beluga whale) is the source of this 2080-nucleotide non-coding RNA. The record is from RefSeq and is a predicted model, not a curated record. NCBI's taxonomy places the organism in Eukaryota, Metazoa, Chordata, Mammalia, Artiodactyla, Monodontidae.
ACAACUUUAGUAGAAUUAAAUAAUAAAAUAUCAUAUUUUUUGUAUUUUACUUACAAAUACAAUUUACGACUUGUAUUUAAUUUCCCAAUCCCAAAUCACGCUGACCCUCAAACAUAAGCAACAUCCACAAGACAGCCAAUGGCUGCUCGUAAGUAUGUAAAGGCCACCUCUCACAAUAUGACUUUGAGAUCAAGAAAAUGAUGGCGAGAAAGUCCUCCAAUGAACCAUCAAGUCACCUUAGGUCGUAAUACUGAUUUGUAUACAGUGUGUUUACCUUCCCUGAAGUCAAUGUCAAUACUUCUCUUAUGUAUGAUACACACAAAAAAAUCUCAAAGACAAAAAUGAAUACAAAGGAAUAAGGUUUUGUAGUAUCAGGUUGAGUUUUGGAGUGCCACAAACCAUUGUAAUAGCAAGAUUUGUUCAUACUCCUAAAAACUAUGUUUGCACCCAUGGAAGCAGUAUCAUCCCCAGUGAGAAUGCAUGAUUUAGCAAUCAUCACCGAUUUGAAGGUUACUCUGUAUUUUUGCAUUAAAUUUCAAAUUUCCCAAAGACUGUCAAAGGUUCCAAUCCAAGUCUAUUCAAACAAAAGGAAACCAUCUUUGUAAUUAAUUGAGAACUGGAUAAAUAUUGAUUGGUAUUAUGGAAAGAAUUAACUUUCAACUCUGAUCAUGAAUUCUUUUAUUUUGCAGUGGAUGUUCUGUGGCCUCAGCCCUCUCCAAUUCCGAUCUUUCAAUAAAUAAUAGGUCACAGCAGCCAGACAAUUUGCCACAUUACUCUUUGCUGGAUCUUUACUGAUGUGACAAUUACUACCUAUAUCCUGAGAUUCUUUGGAGACUCCUCACAAGGAAUGAUGAGUGAUCAUUUUUAUCCUGUAUCUUCAUUCCCUUCCAUGGGACGAUAGGCUCCAUUCCUGAUUUAUUUCCAAAAUUUGACACAUAAUAAUUAAAGCAUUACUGCAGGUCGAAAAUCAAGGGUUUGGAUUCUGAGUCCUUGGCCUGCACUUUUGGCCAGAUAAAUUGCUCAUUCUUCUUUAUUUACUCAGCAUGAAUAUAUUCUCUCUUCUAGAUGCCAAGCAUGUAGGUUUAAAUGACCUUUCUGGUUUGAAUAUUUCAGUCCCCCCAAAAUUAUUAGUUUGAAGUCCUAACCCCCAAAGUGAUUGUAUCAGGUGGCGGACCCUUUGGGACUUUAUUAGGGUGUGGGGAUGGAGGCCUCACAAAUGGAAUUAGUACCCUUAUAGAAGAGGUCUGAGAUAAAUGCCUCCCUCUCCUGCCCUGUGAUGAAACAAUGAGAACUCUGCAGUGUGAGACCUGAAGCAGGCUCUCACCAGAACUGGACCACAUGGACACCCAGAUCUUGGAUUUCCAAACUCUAGAACUGUGAGCAGUACAUUUCUGCUCUUUACAAACUACCCAGUCUAUGCUGUUUUGUUGAAGAAGCCCAAAUAGUAAGACAUGACCUGAUCUAUUGUACCCUCGGAAUACCUCCCAGAAGUCUUUAAAAUACCUAAAGGGAGAGAUACCAUCUUACCCAACCCCGUUUCCUAGACAGCUAGUCCAGUCCCUGUCAUUUCAGGAGCUUGAUCCAUACUCAUGAUGAUAAUAAUAAUAGAAGAAAUAAUACCAACAUAGAUAGAUAUGAUGUGAGAGGACAAUAAUCUACAGAGAAUUUGUAAAUUCUUCAUGGUUCUACAAGGGAAGUGAUAAUGGAAUAUUGUGUGAGAUAUUUUUUGAAGAUCGUCUGCAGGAAUGUUUUCUUCAAGUUUGUAUUUCCAAUAUUUAGAAGAUCAGGAUGAGAAUCACAGGCUUGGACACAAAUGGAAGGCUCGCUCUCCACUUUUUCUUCAGUUAUCCUCAAGUACUUGCAAGGAGCUGCCUGAUCAUACUUUUCUCGUCUCCCUCAGGAAAUAAGGAAACAACUUGUAAUGUGUCUACACUUGUGGAUAUUUUCCUUGUAGGCUAUGCCUUUGGGCAUCAACUUGAAUGCUUCUUUCAAAUAGUCUAUGUUGCUGUGAACUCUGAGUGACAUCUGUGUCAUCUUCUCCAAGCUGAACUUGUGGAAUAAAAAUUUGAGUCUGAUUGCA